RNAcentral lists this long non-coding RNA (1526 nucleotides) under Equus caballus (horse). Its description in RNAcentral is "lncRNA (ENSECAG00000053095.1)". Lineage: Eukaryota; Metazoa; Chordata; Mammalia; Perissodactyla; Equidae. The record is from RNAcentral.
GUGAAUGAAUCUGGCUGGCUCCCUUUCUACGACGCACCCGAAUGCAGGUGCGGUUCUGCCGCCGUACGCUGCUUCCCAGGAGAACCGCGCACAAACCGCAGACGCGAGCUCGCGCACCGGCUGCCGCGCUGGGCACGCCCGGAUAUUUACACGCUGUGCGGGAGGCUUCCUCCCCGCCCUCUUUUGCUACUUUAAACUCCCCAGGAGGACCUGUUAGUGGCAGAAGCUGGAAGGGGGGCGCCCCCCCUCGGUUCCCCGGCCGUGACGCGGCUGCUGCCUUCCGCCCUUGGCUCCCACCCUGUUUGCGUGGCCGCAGGCUCAGCAGUGGACCAGCGUGGCUGGGCCCCUGGAGCCCCUGCCCGGGCCUAACCCCCCGCAUGCGCCUGUGAGACUGGCUUACCCCGGUGGGCGAGUCGCGGCGCAUUAGCGGAUUUCAUGGCAAGUUGCUUCUGUGACAAGCGAUCAGGGACUGGAUGGCCCCCUCCACGAAGCCUUUCUCGGCAGCCGGGCCCGGGGCAGAUGGGCCCGUCAGGCCGCUCCUGGGCCCGCGGAUUCCUGCAAGGUCUCGAGGUGAGGGGUGCGGCAAAGAAAGACCUCGGGCUCCGUGCCAAGCGGCCCCGUUCGGCGCCCAGGGUCUGAGCCAGACGCACAAACCCAAAUUCCCUCCAGCGCCUUCGGCUCCAUCUUUAAGUCCAGGCAAAGAUCAAUUCUCCCUCUCUCUUGCACACACACAUUUGCAGCCAUAAAUAAACAGCUCCCAGCUAAAUCAGGAACCGGAGAAGAGAAAGAGAGAAGAAAGAAGAGAAAAGGAUGAGAACCGUAGCACCGUUCUUGUUUCUCCCGGGCGCCGGAUGGCUCUUUUUGGUCAGGCCAGCCUCUCAUUUGGGGUUGCAACUUGCAUUUGAAUAGCUGCCUGGGCUUGUUAUGGACCCGGGAAAGCUCUGAAAGGGAAUCACUAUGCAAAUUGUCCCAGUUACAAUCGAAAGGUUCGAUCUCCAGGAGCUGCCUGACGGAAGUUGAUGUCAGCUAUCUGUGCAUUAGGGUUGCAUUACUGCCUUCGCCGGCCUCCUCACCACCCCCGCUCGCGCCUGCCAGGGAGCCUUUUUGUUUUUUUUCUUAUGUGUAUAUUUUCCCUCAGUGAUUAAAAAAAGGGAAGAAAAAAAGGGCUGAAGGUAGCGGCGUAGCUGGCUCAGGCCUGGGCGGCCCACGGGCGGAGGGGAGGAGGUGCGGCCCCUCGGGUGGGCGGGGGGUGGGGGGUGUCCAUUCUUUUGCAGCAGGUGUUGACGGUGCUUCUGAAAUCAGACAUUUAGAAACGGUUUCUAGCGCUUUGCAGGACUCGGCGACUGCGAGGGGUGGGGGCGGCGAUGUCCGCCUCCGCCCGCCUGCUUGAUCCUACAAUGCCGGCUGCAGAUCAAUACCCGCUCACUGUAAUCCCAGUAAUUGUAGGGCUCGCGGCUUUUAUUUUAAAGAAAUAGGACACUAGGGCGCGGGCGGGCGGCUGAAGCAGCGCGGCUGGGCCGCGGGGC